Neoarius graeffei (lesser salmon catfish) is the source of this 1042-nucleotide long non-coding RNA. RefSeq lists it as uncharacterized. NCBI's taxonomy places the organism in Eukaryota, Metazoa, Chordata, Actinopteri, Siluriformes, Ariidae. The record is from RefSeq and is a predicted model, not a curated record. The transcript is spliced from 3 exons.
GCUGACAGUUUUUACACAGACGUAGGCCUAUAUUCAGACAGAUCAGCCAUUUUACAGCUCUGGAGCAGAGGGGGUCAGUGCCUGGACUGUGUCUCAUUUGACUGGCUCUGAACUCAGAUGACUUCAGGAUGGAGAAAGAACACAAAGAAAAACACACCCUUAGCCAGGAAGUCCUUAAGGAGAGGGUGAAGAUGAAUCACAGGAGGUUUCCACAGCCUAGUCCUCUCCAGGCCUUCAGAUGCAUAAUGCAGGUUGUGAUUGGCUCUGGGUUGAGCUAUUUCCUCUAGAGAGCCUUAUGUCUGCUUUAUAGCUGCUUCUUGUUCAGCCAUCCAGCAACACUGAACCCCACACUGACUCACUGUGGCUUUAUGAAGCACCAUAAACACCAGAGACUAUGUUACAUGAUGACAAUGAUACAUGCACCUUAAGUGGGUGUUUGAGAGUGUUCUCUGCUAUUAUAUCACUGUCUGGUUCGGGAAAUGCAAUGUCGCUGAAGAAAAUUCCCUGCAGAGGAUAGUGAGGAUGGCAGAGAGGAUCAUUGGGGUUCCUCUCCCACCCAUCUCCCAACUCUAUAAGAAGCACAUCAGUCACCAUGCCAACAGCAGAGUGCAGGACAAGUCCCACCCAUCACAUGCACUGUUCUUCUCCCUGAUGUCUGGCAGAAGGUAUCGCAGCAUCCGAACCGUCACUGUCAGACACUGCAACAGCUUCUUCCCUGAGGCAGUCAGAGUCCUCAACUCACUGUUACCCCUGAAGAACUGACAGUAGUCAAAUAGUUCAAACUGAAACUAUUGUUUUUCAUCAAUCCAUUUGCACUAUACUGCCCAUUUGCACACACAUGCACAGUGCUCACCUUGUACAGUGGUGCUUGAAAGUUUGUGAACCCCUUUAGAAUUUUCUAUAUUUCUGCACAAAUAUGACCUAAAACAUCAUCAGAUUUUCACACAAGUCCUAAAGAGAACCCAGUUAAACAAAUGAGACAAAAAUAUUAUACUUGGUCAUUUAUUUAUUGAGGAAAAUGAUCCAAUAUUACAUAUCUGUG